RNAcentral lists this ribosomal RNA (515 nucleotides) under Klebsiella pneumoniae. RNAcentral describes it as "bacterial LSU rRNA". It matches the Rfam family "Bacterial large subunit ribosomal RNA", at positions 2428 to 2925 of the family's 2925-position model. The record is from RNAcentral. Lineage: Bacteria; Pseudomonadati; Pseudomonadota; Gammaproteobacteria; Enterobacterales; Enterobacteriaceae.
UCUGAAUGGAAGGGCCAUCGCUCAACGGAUAAAAGGUACUCCGGGGAUAACAGGCUGAUACCGCCCAAGAGUUCAUAUCGACGGCGGUGUUUGGCACCUCGAUGUCGGCUCAUCACAUCCUGGGGCUGAAGUAGGUCCCAAGGGUAUGGCUGUUCGCCAUUUAAAGUGGUACGCGAGCUGGGUUUAGAACGUCGUGAGACAGUUCGGUCCCUAUCUGCCGUGGGCGCUGGAGAAUUGAGGGGGGCUGCUCCUAGUACGAGAGGACCGGAGUGGACGCAUCACUGGUGUUCGGGUUGUCAUGCCAAUGGCACUGCCCGGUAGCUAAAUGCGGAAGAGAUAAGUGCUGAAAGCAUCUAAGCACGAAACUUGCCCCGAGAUGAGUUCUCCCUGAGACUUUAAGUCUCCUGAAGGAACGUUAAAGACGAUGACGUUGAUAGGCCGGGUGUGUAAGCGCAGCGAUGCGUUGAGCUGACCGGUACUAAUGAACCGUGAGGGUUAACCUUACAACGCCGAAG